Molecule: non-coding RNA, 484 nt
Organism: Mauremys mutica (yellowpond turtle)
Lineage: Eukaryota; Metazoa; Chordata; Testudines; Geoemydidae
Source: the annotation of a RefSeq genome assembly
UUCUUCUUUGUGCAGACGAUCAGGGGACGAGAAGAGGUGUAAUGUUAACAAUUAUUACAAUGAAAAUGCCUCUGAUUUUUGCUUUAUGGGUUGUAGUGGUUUUUGUUUUAAGAAGGACCCGUGCAGACCCAGUAACUCAGCCAAAAGGCACCAUUCCCGUCCACGAGGGAAAACCUGUGCUUAUUCGCUGCACUUUCGACUACUCUGGGGCUCCAUAUCUCUACUGGUACGAGCAGUACCCCCAUGAAGCCCCUCGCCCGUUGCUUACACAAUAUGAAGCAUCGGACGAGGAGCAGAAGAGACGCAGGCGAGGGUUCUCUGCUAAACUGGAGAAAGACUCCAAAUCCUUCCACCUGGAGAAAAACUCCAGCGAAGCGAGCGACUCUGCUGUCUAUUACUGCGCCUUGAGAGACACCGCGAACAAAACCACCUGGGGAGGUGAACAAAAACCUCCCUGAGUGAGAAACACAAAGGACUGAAAUAG